CCUACGGGUGGCAGCAGUGGGGAAUAUUGCACAAUGGGGGAAACUCUGAUGCAGCGACGCCGCGUGAGUGAAGAAGUAAUUCGUUAUGUAAAGCUCUAUCAGCAGGGAAGAAAAUGACGGUACCUGAGUAAGAAUCACCGGCUAACUACUUCCCCGAAGCCGCGGUAAUCCGUAGGGGGCAAGCGUGAUCCGGAUUUACUGGGUGAAAGGGGAGCGUAGACGGCAGUGCAAGUCUGGAGUGAAAGGCGGGGGCUAAAUCCGCGGACUGCUCUGGAAACGGUCGGGCUGGAGUGAAGUACGGGUAAGUGGAAUUCCUGGUGUAGCGGUGAAA
Molecule: ribosomal RNA, 331 nt
Filed under: uncultured bacterium
Lineage: Bacteria
Description: partial 16S ribosomal RNA
Rfam family: Bacterial small subunit ribosomal RNA
Source: RNAcentral